Non-coding RNA from Arachis ipaensis, 215 nucleotides. The record is from RefSeq and is a predicted model, not a curated record. Lineage: Eukaryota; Viridiplantae; Streptophyta; Magnoliopsida; Fabales; Fabaceae.
AAUGUCAUAUACUUGACCCGCUACACAAAAAAGCUCCAAGCGAUGAGAGAAAGCAGGUUAAUAAAUUCACUGGAUAUGUAUUUUCAAGAUUGAUAACAUAUGCCGGCGGGGAACCUCUGCAGAAAGGGGAGAACGAGAAGAAAAUUAAAUCAUCAUAUGUUAAAAUAUCAGGCCAAAAAACAAGCUAUGACUGUGCUAUCUACGUUAUGAAGUGG